This 320-nucleotide ribosomal RNA is filed under the name uncultured eukaryote. RNAcentral's name for it is "partial 18S ribosomal RNA". It matches the Rfam family "Eukaryotic small subunit ribosomal RNA", at positions 1470 to 1796 of the family's 1831-position model. The record is from RNAcentral.
CCCUUAGAUGUUCUGGGCUGCACGCGCGCUACACUGAUGCAUCCAACAAGUUUUCUCCCUUGUUCGGUAGGACUGGGUAAUCUUUUGAGAAUGCAUCGUGAUGGGGAUAGAUUAUUGCAAUUAUUAAUCUUCAACGAGGAAUUCCUAGUAAGCGCGAGUCAUCAGCUCGUGCUGAUUACGUCCCUGCCCUUUGUACACACCGCCCGUCGCUGCAACUGAUUGGGUGACCUGGUGAACAUCUUGGACCGGUCCACUCAAUUUCGAGAGGACUGGAAAAGGCCGUAAAUCAGGUACAUCUAGAAAUUGCAAAAGUCGUAACA